Molecule: transfer RNA, 88 nt
Filed under: Candidatus Fermentibacterota bacterium
Lineage: Bacteria; Pseudomonadati; Candidatus Fermentibacterota
Also listed under: 1 other name
Description: tRNA-Leu
Rfam family: tRNA
About the family: Transfer RNA (tRNA) molecules are approximately 80 nucleotides in length. Their secondary structure includes four short double-helical elements and three loops (D, anti-codon, and T loops). Further hydrogen bonds mediate the characteristic L-shaped molecular structure. tRNAs have two regions of fundamental functional importance: the anti-codon, which is responsible for specific mRNA codon recognition, and the 3' end, to which the tRNAs corresponding amino acid is attached (by aminoacyl-tRNA synthetases). tRNAs cope with the degeneracy of the genetic code in two manners: having more than one tRNA (with a specific anti-codon) for a particular amino acid; and 'wobble' base-pairing, i.e. permitting non-standard base-pairing at the 3rd anti-codon position.
Source: RNAcentral
GCCGGAGUGGCGGAAUUGGCAGACGCGACGGACUCAAAAUCCGUUGUCCCUUGUGGACUUGAGGGUUCGAGUCCCUCCUCCGGUACCA